RNAcentral lists this ribosomal RNA (1227 nucleotides) under Triticum aestivum (bread wheat). RNAcentral describes it as "partial small subunit ribosomal RNA". Lineage: Eukaryota; Viridiplantae; Streptophyta; Magnoliopsida; Poales; Poaceae. The record is from RNAcentral.
AUGUGUCCACACACCACAGUGUCAUUGCAGUCGCGCGCUUUAUGUAUGCUCAUUAAUUCAUACACUUGCACUUGGCACGCGUUAGCCGGUUCUCAACUUCUGUUCCACUUCCGCGCCGGCGAGGAGCGCUGUCCGUCGAUGGGGGCCGCGGCUACGUCGGCCAACUCCGAGACAGCAGCCACGCGCGUGCAUGACGGUCUCGUUGGCUGCGAUGGCACGGGGUACCACGGGGAGAGCUUACCGCCGCCGGCGUCAAAUCCGGACGGCCUGCGGCGCCGGGCGGCGAAGGAGAGGAUAAGGGAGCGGAUACUGCGCGAGGAGGUGGAGGCGAUGGCGCUCGAGUUCGAAGUCCGGCGUGAGCUCAUGGAAGAGCGCGCCAGUUUGCUCGCGCGGUUGGCCGGCGGGUCGGAAACUAGGGCAGCGCCGGCGGUGCCAUCGCUGAAGACGGCGCCGAUCGAUCACCAGUGUGUGCAGGUUGGAUCCAAAGUAGACGUGUCUGCGGCCGUGCCAGCCAACAAGAGGAAAACCCCUCAUGUCGCUGCUGCAUCCGUUUCGGUGGCCACUGGCAGCAAGAAGCACAAGCCUGAUCUGACUUGCACGGUGUGCAACAUCACGGCAACCAGUGAGGUUGCCCUGCAAGAGCACCUCAGAGGGAAGAGCCACGUGAGGAAGGCCGGUAAACAUGCGCAGCCUCACCCAGAGGAGGAUGUGGUAAUAAAAUACAUCAUAUAUAUACACUACCGGAACAGGGUGCUACCCCGACGGCCAAAACAAUGCCGACGGCCACCGUCGGGUUCCUCGGAGAUAUGCCGACAGCCUGGUCCUGGCCGUCAGCGUAUCCAGGCCGUCGGGUUAGACGGAGCUAAGCCGACGGCACCCAUCGGCAUAGAACGGCCGUCGGCCUAUCUGCAAGUACGCCGACAGCUGCCGUCGGCUUACAAGGGCCAUCGGCAUAGUGGUGGGCCCGGCGACCCCGCUGUUGACGGGCGGCUAACGUCGUCAGAGCUAUGCCGACGGCCGAGGCGGGGGGCCGUCGGCAUAGGUCCGCACGCCACGUCACUGAUCCGGGCCGCACCGUCCAAAACAUAUGCCGACGGCUGCCGUCGGCAUACCUGCCAUGUCAGCGAUCCGCGGCACGCCGCCCGCCGCCUAAAACCUGGCCGUCUCUAUGCCGACGGCAUAGCUGUCGGCAUAGGUAGACUUUUUUUUUCAUAUAUAUAUUUUUAA